GAUGAAGAACUUAGCGAAAUGCGAUAAGUAAUGUGAAUUGCAGAAUUCAGUGAAUCAUCGAGUCUUUGAACGCACAUUGCGCCCCCUGGUAUUCCGGGGGGCAUGCCUGUCCGAGCGUCAUUGCUGCCCUCAAGCACGGCUUGUGUGUUGGGCCCCCGCCCCCCGGCUUCGGGGGGCGGGCCCGAAAGGCAGCGGCGGCACCGCGUCCGGUCCUCGAGCGUAUGGGGCUUCGUCACCCGCUCUGUAGGCCCGGCCGGCGCCCGCCGGCGACCCCAAUCAAUCUUUCCAGGUUGACCUCGGAUCAGGUAGGGAUACCCGCUGAACUUAAGCAUAUCAAUAAGCGGAGGA
Molecule: unclassified non-coding RNA, 348 nt
Filed under: soil metagenome
Description: partial contains 5.8S ribosomal RNA, internal transcribed spacer 2, and large subunit ribosomal RNA
Rfam family: 5.8S ribosomal RNA (bases 1-120)
Source: RNAcentral